UGCUGAAUGUGGUUUGUGUACAUCUAAAAACAGCUGUGAUAAGAUCUUAUGAACAUCACACUUGCUCCGCUACUGGUGUCAACUCAGCAGAUGAUUUGCAUAAACGGGGUAGGUGACUGAUGAUAAACUGAUAAUGGUUGGUUUGUAUUUAUAAUAGCACCUCAGCUCCCACUUAAAAUACAGCACCCACAGUCUAAACAGUGAAACCUAUGCAUUAACACUGUAAAAGCAGGUAACAGCAUGUGGUGACAGAGCAACUGAUGCAGUGUGAAAGAUGUUAUCUCCACACCGAGGCUGUGGACUCUCCCCUCUGACCGAGGGUGAGCAGCCUGACAUGGAACACCGAGAAAGUGUCGGGGGAACUUUGUGGCAGGAUUAAUUUUAGGUGGAGGACGUCACACUUUCUGUUCCACGAUGGACAGGAUUUAUAGCGGACGCGGAGCGGAGAGAAGAUCACAGCAACAUCAGCAUCACCUUCAGCUGACAGCAUCAUGAAGACUCUCUGCCUCUGCCUGGGCCUGCUGCUGCUCACCGCCUCCUGCUGUUACACAGGUCAGUGAUCUCUGUUUGAGCCUCUAAUGAUGUCUCACUGACAUGUUUUCAUUAACUCUAUUGUUUUUAACAGCCCUGGCUCCAUACAACAUGUUGGCAACCUGUUGCACUGACGUGACUACAAUAAAAGUGCCUCCAAAGUUGAUCAGGAAAAUAUCCAAGACCCACAGCACAUGUUUAAACAAAGCCUUCAUAAUCACGACUGCUGCAGGGAGAAAGAUCUGCUACAGUCAGAUGAAUGAGUGGGCUAUAAAAAUCUAUAAGCAGUAUCACCAGUAAACAGUAAUAAGCUUUUCUGUACCGCACCAUGAUAAAUGCCUGUUUCUGCAGGUACAAAUGUGUCUGAACUUGUUUUUUACAUUCAAAAUAAACAAGAGAAAGAAAUAAAAGAAUUUUUGUUC
Molecule: long non-coding RNA, 953 nt
Filed under: Betta splendens (Siamese fighting fish)
Lineage: Eukaryota; Metazoa; Chordata; Actinopteri; Anabantiformes; Osphronemidae
Description: lncRNA (ENSBSLG00000000935.1)
Source: RNAcentral